AGAGUUUGAUCCUGGCUCAGGAUGAACGCUGGCGGCGUGCCUAAUACAUGCAAGUCGAGCGGCAGCAUUACCUUCGGGUAGAUGGCGAGCGGCGGACGGGUGAGUAACACGUAAGAACAUACCCCGAAGUGAGGGAUAAGCACCAGAAAUGGUGUCUAAUACCGCAUAGUAUCUUCGGAUUAAAGCAGUAAUGCGCUUUGGGAAUGGCUUGCGUUGGAUUAGCUAGUUGGUAAGGUAAUGGCUUACCAAGGCGACGAUCCAUAGCUGGUUUGAGAGGAUGAUCAGCCACACUGGAACUGAGACACGGUCCAGACUCCUACGGGAGGCAGCAGUAGGGAAUUUUCCACAAUGGGGGCAACCCUGAUGGAGCAACGCCGCGUGCAGGAUGAAGGCUUUCGGGUCGUAAACUGCUUUUAUGAGAGAAGAAUAUGACGGUAACUCAUGAAUAAGGGUCGGCUAACUACGUGCCAGCAGCCGCGGUCAUACGUAGGACCCAAGCGUUAUCCGGAAUUACUGGGCGUAAAGAGUUGCGUAGGUGGUUUGUUAAGCGGUGUGUGAAAUCUUGAGGCUCAACCUUGAGACUAUGCACUGAACUGGCAGACUUGAGUAUAGAAGAGGUAUCUGGAAUUCCCAGUGUAGGAGUGAAAUCCGUAGAUAUUGGGAGGAACACCGAUGGCGUAGGCAGGAUACUGGUCUAUUACUGACACUAAGGCACGAAAGCGUGGGGAGCAAACGGGAUUAGAUACCCCGGUAGUCCACGCCGUAAACAAUGGAUGCUAGCUGUGAGAGGUAUCGACCCC
This 800-nucleotide ribosomal RNA is filed under the name uncultured bacterium. Its description in RNAcentral is "bacterial SSU rRNA". It matches the Rfam family "Bacterial small subunit ribosomal RNA", at positions 8 to 839 of the family's 1533-position model. The record is from RNAcentral.